CCCUUAGAUGUUCUGGGCCGCACGCGCGCUACACUGAUGAAUUCAACGAGCACUAACCUGUGCCGAAAGGUUCGGGUAAUCUUGUGAAAUUUCAUCGUGAUGGGGAUUGAUUAUUGCAAUUUUUAAUCAUAAACGAGGAAUGCCUAGUAAGCGUGAGUCAUCAGCUCACGUUGAUUACGUCCCUGCCCUUUGUACACACCGCCCGUCGCUACUACCGAUUGAAUGGCUUAGUGAGGCCUCAGGAUCCGCGCUUAAUGUGUGGAGAAUUUGGACAAACUACGUCAUUUAGAGGAAGUAAAAGUCGUAACA
Molecule: ribosomal RNA, 309 nt
Filed under: uncultured eukaryote
Lineage: Eukaryota
Description: partial 18S ribosomal RNA
Rfam family: Eukaryotic small subunit ribosomal RNA
Source: RNAcentral